Molecule: long non-coding RNA, 476 nt
Filed under: Capsicum annuum
Lineage: Eukaryota; Viridiplantae; Streptophyta; Magnoliopsida; Solanales; Solanaceae
Description: long non-coding RNA (CANN_LNC000300)
Source: RNAcentral
AGCUUAACAAAAUUCUUCCCCUAUUAUGUAUAUGCAGUUUUAAAAAAAGGAUAGACAGUCUAACAACUUAUAUAGUUAUGUCUAUACUACUAUAUACAUAACAUAGAUAUAUAUAUGAUCUUAUAUACAUAAAAAAAAGUUAUGUUCAUAGUCUCAUAUACAUAACCUGUAUUAUGUAUAUGUGCUAAAACUACCAAAAAUGAUUAAUGUACAUAAAAAUGUUAUGUAUAUAUUUAACAUAUACAUAAUCCGCAAUUCUAUACACAACACAGAACCUUAGAGAGACGGGGUCAUGAUGUAUUUCUUCUUUUUUUUUUCUCUUCCAUGAAGAUUGACCAACUUGCUUUUUUGAAUUACUAGUAGCAAUAACAACUUCUUCAUCAUGACGGGGACAUUGCGGUUUUUGAAGUAACAAUAAAUUUCAUAAUGUAUCUGGUGUUUUUCUUCUUCUUCUUCUUCUUCUUCUUCUUCUUNNN